GUCUUGAUAGCUUAAUAGUGAAAGCAUUACUCUAGAGAAGUAAAGAUAAUUUUUAUUUCAAGACA
This 65-nucleotide transfer RNA is filed under the name Columbicola macrourae. Its description in RNAcentral is "tRNA-Ser". It matches the Rfam family "tRNA". Rfam says of the family: Transfer RNA (tRNA) molecules are approximately 80 nucleotides in length. Their secondary structure includes four short double-helical elements and three loops (D, anti-codon, and T loops). The record is from RNAcentral. Lineage: Eukaryota; Metazoa; Arthropoda; Insecta; Psocodea; Philopteridae.